GGGCAAAUAGCGUAGGGGUUAUCGCGUUCGCUUUGCAUACUGUCGAGGGUCGACGACUGCUGCGAAAGGUCUCCGGUUCAAAUCCGGAUUUGUCCA
Molecule: non-coding RNA, 96 nt
Organism: Marasmius tenuissimus
Lineage: Eukaryota; Fungi; Basidiomycota; Agaricomycetes; Agaricales; Marasmiaceae
Source: the annotation of a GenBank genome assembly